UCGUGCGAGCUACACAUGCAGUCGAGCGGUAGAGAGAAGCUUGCUUCUCUUGAGAGCGGCGGACGGGUGAGUAAUGCCUAGGAAUCUGCCUGGUAGUGGGGGAUAACGUUCGGAAACGGACGCUAAUACCGCAUACGUCCUACGGGAGAAAGCAGGGGACCUUCGGGCCUUGCGCUAUCAGAUGAGCCUAGGUCGGAUUAGCUAGUUGGUGGGGUAAUGGCUCACCAAGGCGACGAUCCGUAACUGGUCUGAGAGGAUGAUCAGUCACACUGGAACUGAGACACGGUCCAGACUCCUACGGGAGGCAGCAGUGGGGAAUAUUGGACAAUGGGCGAAAGCCUGAUCCAGCCAUGCCGCGUGUGUGAAGAAGGUCUUCGGAUUGUAAAGCACUUUAAGUUGGGAGGAAGGGCAGUAAAUUAAUACUUUGCUGUUUUGACGUUACCGACAGAAUAAGCACCGGCUAACUCUGUGCCAGCAGCCGCGGUAAUACAGAGGGUGCAAGCGUUAAUCGGAAUUACUGGCCGUAAAGCGCGCGCAGGUGGUUAGUUAAGUUGAAUGUCCCGUCCC
Molecule: ribosomal RNA, 567 nt
Filed under: bacterium
Lineage: Bacteria
Description: bacterial SSU rRNA
Rfam family: Bacterial small subunit ribosomal RNA
Source: RNAcentral